This 717-nucleotide long non-coding RNA is filed under the name Zonotrichia albicollis (white-throated sparrow). RNAcentral describes it as "lncRNA (ENSZALG00000001970.1)". Lineage: Eukaryota; Metazoa; Chordata; Aves; Passeriformes; Passerellidae. The record is from RNAcentral.
AGAGGGGGCGGGGUCUCAAUGAGCCCCUCAUUAACUUUCAUUCAUCUCUGACCUCAUUAACCUCUGACCUCGUUAACCUGACUUCUUUAACGUCUGAUCUCAUUAACCCUGCUGACCUCAUUAAGCUCUGAUCUCAUUAACCCCACUGACCUUGUUAACCCAGAGCUCCUUUAUUAACCUCAUUAACCUCGUAUCCCAUUAACCCUGCUGACCUCAUUAACCUCAUAUCUCAUUAACCCCACUGACCUCGUUAACCCAGAGCUCCUUUAUUAACCUCAUUAACCCUGAUGACCUCAUUAACCUCAGAUCUCGUUAAUCUCCACCUCAGCAUCCCCCAGCACCCAACAAGCCUUAAUGAGCCCCCACCAAUUAACGAGCCUUAAUGAGCUGCCCAUAAUUAAUGAGCCUCUGCACAGGUCCCUAAUGAGCCUUAACGAGUCCCCACAACCAAAACAAGGCCAACAUUGGGGUCCCCCCCUGCUGAUCCUGGGGACCCCCCAGCUCCUCCACCAUUCUACUGAGGCUAAUGAGCCUAACGAGCCCAAUCAGCCUAAUGAGAGUAAUGAGCCUAACAAGCUUAAUGAGCUCUAAUAAGACUAAUGAGCCUUAAUGAGGCCCUGCCACCUGCUGCCCCUCACCUGCUGACCCCUGGGGACCCCCAAGCUCCUCCACCAUUCUAAUGAGCCCAAUGAGCCCUAAUGACCUCUAAUGAGCCCA